Non-coding RNA from Salvia hispanica, 515 nucleotides. The record is from RefSeq and is a predicted model, not a curated record. NCBI's taxonomy places the organism in Eukaryota, Viridiplantae, Streptophyta, Magnoliopsida, Lamiales, Lamiaceae.
ACAAUGACUACUAAUAAGGUUGAGGUAGAAAUUGAGUUGAAAGCCUCUCCAGAAAAGCUAUGGAAAAACAUAAAAGAAUUCGUCACACUCUUGCCCAAAGCCAUGCCCGAUGUAAUCGAAAGGGUCGAUGUGAUCGAGGGCGAUGGAAGAUCGGUCGGAACAUCUUUGUGGCUACUUCGAAGCCCACGGAGAUGAGCCCCAUGGGUUCGAUCACCAAUGAGAGGAUUGAAAUUGUGGACGACGAGAAGAAGAUAUGGGGUUAAAGUAUUCUGGAAGGCUUGGAAUUUUCAAAAAAUUACAAGGCGGUAAUAUAUGUUGGCAGCAGCCCUAAAAGUGAUGGUGCUUUGGUUAAAUAUACAGCUGAGUUUAACAAGGCAAAUGAAAAUGUCAUUGUUGAUCUUGAUAUCUACAAGGCUUUUGUUAUUAAAGUUUACAUGGCUGUUGAUGCUUAUCUUCUCAAGGUAUGAUUUAUUAAGCAUCUAUUGUUGAUAUAUAGUUUAUGUUGGUAUUUUUUU